UACGUAGGGGGCUAGCGUUGUCCGGAAUCAUUGGGCGUAAAGCGCGUGUAGGCGGUCCGGUAAGUCCGCUGUGAAAGUCGAGGGCUCAACCCUCGAAUGCCGGUGGAUACUGUCGGGCUUGAGUACGGGAGAGGCGAGUGGAAUUCCUGGUGUAGCGGUGAAAUGCGCAGAUAUCAGGAGGAACACCGAUUGCGAAGGCAGCCCCCUGGGCUAACACUGACGCUCAUGCACGAAAGCGUGGGGAGCAAACAGG
This 253-nucleotide ribosomal RNA is filed under the name uncultured bacterium. Its description in RNAcentral is "partial 16S ribosomal RNA". It matches the Rfam family "Bacterial small subunit ribosomal RNA", at positions 524 to 776 of the family's 1533-position model. The record is from RNAcentral.